AUGUGCGACCCCACCCCUGAGCCCAACGAGCUCGACAAGGACAUACUCGAGUCCGACCUCGAGCUCGACAAGGAGGGUGUCGUCCAACCCGACCAUGAUGACACACCACACAAGUUGGCCAGCUCCACACUAGUUAGUGCUCCUAUUCUUGCCCCCGUGGUGGAUGGGACACUCUUCCUUGAGGUGACCGAGGAGAGCCGUGACGCCUCCCAGGAAGCAAAGGGCCACGCAAUGGAAGCAAUGUCAGAAGGGAAACUGGAAGAGGCCGUUGAGCAUCUCACCAAGGCUAUACUGCUGAAUCCAACCUCGACAAUCAUGUACGGUACCAGAGCAUCUGUGUUUGUGAAAAUGAAGAAGCUUGUUGCUGCCAUCCGUGAUGUGAACGCUGCUCUAGAAGUGAUGAUUAUUUCCCCCUUCUGUCCCUUGACAUUCUAUCUUGAUUCUGAGAUGCUAAUGAGGGGUGGCGUUAUAUCUACAACCAUUCUGGAUCUUUAUGUGUACGUUCUGGCUGUAGUGUGCUCUCAUGUUGUACAUGCCCUUAUGUUUAGUAAUCCUUUUCCGACCGGCACUAUGGAGAGGACCCUGAAGCCUGGUGUGUUCCUCAAAUCGGGCCACUUGAAGCUUUCAAAGGGCACCAUGGUGCGUUGCAAUGUCAUGGACCACUCGAGGAGGAGAAAAUCCAUCCACGACCGUCUUGUUGCCGGCGUUCUGGCUGCCCCGGCGGACCUCCUCUGUCCGAAGCUGAGACCUUGUGCGGGCAAGUUCUCCAAGGUCCUCUGCUGCGACCUCCAUAGAAAACUCUCAUUCCAUUCUUUCUCCUACCCCAAUGAGCCCAUUCUCCACACGUCGCCUGCACCCCCGCAUCUAACUCCACCAUCUGGGAACGUCGUAGAAGAAAUCUCCAGUCUUCAUGGAAUUGUGCUUGGAGUUCAGACUGAAAGUGCGAAGUAUUCUGUAACGAGACUUGUGCUUGGAGUUCAGUCUAUCAAAGCUCGUCGACUAGUACUACGUUCGUCCUCCGCUGUUUUGUUGCUGCAUCUCGAACUGAAAAUGGAAGGAAGUGGUGGGACGUCGCCUUUAGGAGAGCCCACCGUUCCAGUAAUCCCAAACUAUGUACCAACACUGUCAGUUGUGGAAUCGGCCAAUAGUGUCCAAAAUCAAGAUUUCAGUGAUGCUACCUCACAAUGUUUUCGAGUCGACGAGUCGACGGGUCGCUCGGGGGGAGCGACUCUAGACUAG
RNAcentral lists this ribosomal RNA (1239 nucleotides) under Triticum aestivum (bread wheat). RNAcentral's name for it is "partial small subunit ribosomal RNA". The record is from RNAcentral. Lineage: Eukaryota; Viridiplantae; Streptophyta; Magnoliopsida; Poales; Poaceae.